RNAcentral lists this ribosomal RNA (230 nucleotides) under uncultured bacterium. RNAcentral's name for it is "partial 16S ribosomal RNA". It matches the Rfam family "Bacterial small subunit ribosomal RNA", at positions 562 to 791 of the family's 1533-position model. The record is from RNAcentral.
AAAGGGCGCGUAGGCGGAUGGCACAGUCAGAUGUGAAAUUCCCGGGCUUAACCUGGGGGCUGCAUUUGAUACGUGUUGUCUAGAGUGAGGAAGAGGGUCGUGGAAUUCCCAGUGUAGAGGUGAAAUUCGUAGAUAUUGGGAAGAACACCGGUGGCGAAGGCGGCGACCUGGUCCUUGACUGACGCUGAGGCGCGAAAGCGUGGGGAGCAAACAGGAUUAGAUACCCGUGU